AUUGAACGCUGGCGGCAUGCCUUACACAUGCAAGUCGAACGGUAACAGGUCUUCGGAUGCUGACGAGUGGCGAACGGGUGAGUAAUACAUCGGAACGUGCCUAGUAGUGGGGGAUAACUACUCGAAAGAGUGGCUAAUACCGCAUGGGAUCUACGGAUGAAAGCAGGGGAUCGCAAGGCCUUGUGCUACUAGAGCAGCCGAUGGCAGAUUAGGUAGUUGGUGGGAUAAAAGCUUACCAAGCCGACGAUCUGUAGCUGGUCUGAGAGGACGAUCAGCCACACUGGGACUGAGACACGGCCCAGACUCCUACGGGAGGCAGCAGUGGGGAAUUUUGGACAAUGGGCGCAAGCCUGAUCCAGCAAUGCCGCGUGCAGGAUGAAGGCCUUCGGGUUGUAAACUGCUUUUGUACGGAACGAAAAGCCCCGGGUUAAUACCCUGGGGUCAUGACGGUACCGUAAGAAUAAGCACCGGCUAACUACGUGCCAGCCGCCGCAGUAA
RNAcentral lists this ribosomal RNA (498 nucleotides) under uncultured bacterium. RNAcentral describes it as "partial 16S ribosomal RNA". It matches the Rfam family "Bacterial small subunit ribosomal RNA", at positions 30 to 523 of the family's 1533-position model. The record is from RNAcentral.